This is a long non-coding RNA of Seriola aureovittata, 267 nucleotides long. RefSeq lists it as uncharacterized. Lineage: Eukaryota; Metazoa; Chordata; Actinopteri; Carangiformes; Carangidae. The record is from RefSeq and is a predicted model, not a curated record. The transcript has 3 exons.
GAAGUAGAUGCUGUACCACCUAACAGCUUGCUGCACCAAAUUUGCACUGAGAUGUCCACUGAAGGCCACAGCGAGGAGCUCCGUCUGCCAGCCUUGGUCUCUGCUUUGAUUCUGCUCCCACACUGGCCAUAGCAACACUCCAGUCUCCUGCCAUAGCGACACACACCUGGUUGGCUUCCAGUAAGGACUUGUCGGUAGUGCCUUUGUAGAAGAAGAGAGGAGUGGAAGGUAAGAUCUGUAAUUUCACUGCCUUAGCAGUAUUUAUAG